UAACUAUAUCGUCACUAUAGCCACUAUUUUACAACACUGCCUUAAAAAAGUAUAGGAUAGUAUAACUACAACUGAAGACAAAGGCACACCUCAACCAUUGUAGAUUCCACCUCGAUGAUCAUAUUCUCAAACUUCUGGUAUAUAUUAUCAAACCAAGCCAUCAUAACGCACUUGUUAGAAUAUUAGUUAGAGCAAUCCAGUACUUGUAUGUCCGAUUUGAAGGCGGCGGUUCUAUCUGCUUACCUGACGAAAAAUCAUUGAGGGAAAUUCAACCAAUAUGCUUAAUUGAUGAUUUUUUUUUACUUCUAAGGGUCUAAAAGUACACUGAUCAGUGUUAUAACAAAGACAUAAAAUCAAUUCAUCAUGCCUAGUAUAAUAUUUCUACAUUUAUAUAGAGGAAUCAAGUUAUAAUCAAUUCUGGAGACAAAAUCAAUCGUCGUAACAUGCCUAGUGGUCAGAAAUUCCACAGUUCGAACCUCAUGUGUGCUCAAUUAUACUCCUCUAAAAGUGGAACCAACAUAUACACAAGGAUCCUCUCUUCGAUAAAUAAAACUAAAAACAUGCAAACUCCAAGUUUACUUGAUCAAAAUUUCCAUAAACAAGAGAAGCAGGGAGAUAAUAUAAUUUUGCCUAAGAAAAGGUUACAUACAUAACAUACACAAACACAAACAUAAAAACAAGCUUGUUAACAAAAAACAAAACCCAUUUAAAACAUCGCUAUAAUAUAAUUGAAAGUGCAACAAUAAAACCAAUAAUUGCAUCAGAGAACAGAGUUUACUUGUUGGCUUGUUGCAAGACAAACAGAGAAGAGAGAAGACUGAGCAAGUACAAAGUGAAGUAGAGUGAGAGGUGAUGCUUACAUUAGACAUGUGGAAUCGAAGUACUAUA
RNAcentral lists this long non-coding RNA (888 nucleotides) under Trifolium pratense (red clover). RNAcentral's name for it is "long non-coding RNA (TPRA_LNC003476)". The record is from RNAcentral. Lineage: Eukaryota; Viridiplantae; Streptophyta; Magnoliopsida; Fabales; Fabaceae.